AACGAACGCUGGCGGCAUGCCUUACACAUGCAAGUCGAACGAGCCCUUCGGGGUUAGUGGCGCACGGUUGCGUCACGCGUGGGAAUCUUCCCUUGGGUUCGGAAUAACAGUGAGAAAUUACUGCUAAUACCGGAUGAUGUCUUCUGACCAAAGAUUUAUCGCCCAAGGAUGAGCCCGCGUAGGAUUAGCUAGUUGGUGGGGUAAUGGCCUACCAAGGCGUCGAUCCUUAGCUGGUCUGAGAGGAUGAUCAGCCACACUGGGACUGAGACACGGCCCAGAAUCCUACGGGAGGCAGGAGUGGGGGAUAGAGGACAAUGGGCGAAGGGAUGAAGCAGCAAUGCCGGGUGAGUGAUGAAGGUAUUAGAGAUGUAAAGCUCAUUUAACCGGGAUGAUAAUGACAGUACCGGGAGAAUAAGCUCCGGCUAACUCCGUG
RNAcentral lists this ribosomal RNA (433 nucleotides) under uncultured bacterium. Its description in RNAcentral is "partial 16S ribosomal RNA". It matches the Rfam family "Bacterial small subunit ribosomal RNA", at positions 29 to 507 of the family's 1533-position model. The record is from RNAcentral.